Hemicordylus capensis (graceful crag lizard) is the source of this 260-nucleotide long non-coding RNA. RefSeq lists it as uncharacterized. The transcript has 2 exons. NCBI's taxonomy places the organism in Eukaryota, Metazoa, Chordata, Lepidosauria, Squamata, Cordylidae. The record is from RefSeq and is a predicted model, not a curated record.
UGCAUGUCAGCACCAAUGAUGUUGGGAAAUGCAGCCGGGAAGUCCUGCGAGCCAAAUUUGGGCUGCUAGGAUAGAAUUCCAGGACCCGCAAGGCAGUGGGAAUUCCAUAUACAGCUUGGGAGAAGGAGUCUGGGACCGUUAAGGUCACUUAGGUUGUAACUGUGACUGGAUGGAAAGAUGUGCUUUAUGUAGCUCUGUGUAAAGAACAUAAUUGUUAUAUUUAUUUCAAGCAAAAAUAAAUACUUGGUGGUGGUUGUUUA